Bactrocera neohumeralis is the source of this 692-nucleotide long non-coding RNA. RefSeq lists it as uncharacterized. The transcript is spliced from 3 exons. The record is from RefSeq and is a predicted model, not a curated record. NCBI's taxonomy places the organism in Eukaryota, Metazoa, Arthropoda, Insecta, Diptera, Tephritidae.
AGAUAUCAUAUAUUAGGGCAUGACAUGCGAACAAUUAUAUUAAACUGAUUUGAAUACAUUUAUUACUUUUUUUGCUAAUAUUUAUGUUUUGAAUAUUUCUUUGCUAAAUUGGAGUAUCAGCAACAUUAAAAAUACUUACCACUUGCAUUUUAUCUUCCCUGGCAUCCCCAAAGCUAUACAUGUACAUGUUGUCUUUUAAACAUUUGUGUGGAAAUGAAAACUGCUCUCUCAAGCCACCAACCCUGCAAGACGGAGGUAACAGAUUGCACAAACACAUUGAAACAUUUUCAGCUGUUCACUAACACUGUUACAUUUUCUGGAAUUUCCAAUUGAAUGGGAAAAUACGUAAGUAAGAUAGAGAAAAACUAUCGACAUUCUAAACAUAUUGUAAUAUUAACUUGCUAGAAUAGGAGAGACGAAUGCCCAAUUUUUCAAGAAGAAGAAAACGAAAAGCGCAGUUUAUUUUGGUUUUUACAGAGAGUAAACAAAAAAGAUUAACAACGAGAAAAAGAAAUCAUUUGGAGCGUUUGGAUGCGUAUAACAAAGACGCACCAUUCAAUUAGCCGCAUCACCGGUGACUUGGAGGACGAGCAUUACAUGGAGCUCGCUAUUAGUUUAAGUAAAUAUUUCUUUAUUUUGAUGUUAUUAUUAAAUAAAGCGAAAUAAUAAAAAAACUGAAUUUUAUUUAAAAG